AUUGAACGCUGGCGGCAGGCCUAACACAUGCAAGUCGAACGAGUGGCGGACGGGUGAGUAAUGUCUGGGAAACUCCCUGCUGGAGGGGGAUAACUUCUGGAAACGGUAGCUAAUACCGCAUACUAUCGGAUGUGCCCCGAUGGGAUUAGCUAGUAGGUGGGGUAAAGGCUACCCUAGGCGACGAUCCCUAGCUGGUCUGAGAGGAUGACGAGCCACACGGGAACUUAGACACGGUCCAGACGCCUACGUGAGGCAGCAGUGGGGAAUAUGGCACAAUGGGCGCAAGCCUGAUGCAGCCAUGCCGCGUGUAUGAAGAAGGCCUUCGGGUUGUAAAGUACUUUCAGCGGGGAGGCGUUACCCGCAGAAGAAGCACCGGCUAACUCCGUGCCAGCAGCCGCGGUAAUUC
This 406-nucleotide ribosomal RNA is filed under the name uncultured bacterium. RNAcentral describes it as "partial 16S ribosomal RNA". It matches the Rfam family "Bacterial small subunit ribosomal RNA", at positions 30 to 526 of the family's 1533-position model. The record is from RNAcentral.